This 719-nucleotide ribosomal RNA is filed under the name Streptomyces sp. RNAcentral's name for it is "bacterial SSU rRNA". It matches the Rfam family "Bacterial small subunit ribosomal RNA", at positions 74 to 807 of the family's 1533-position model. The record is from RNAcentral. Lineage: Bacteria; Bacillati; Actinomycetota; Actinomycetes; Kitasatosporales; Streptomycetaceae.
CCACCUUCGGGUGGGGAUUAGUGGCGAACGGGUGAGUAACACGUGGGCAAUCUGCCCUGCACUCUGGGACAAGCCCUGGAAACGGGGUCUAAUACCGGAUACUGACCCGCCUGGGCAUCCAGGCGGUUCGAAAGCUCCGGCGGUGCAGGAUGAGCCCGCGGCCUAUCAGCUUGUUGGUGAGGUAACGGCUCACCAAGGCGACGACGGGUAGCCGGCCUGAGAGGGCGACCGGCCACACUGGGACUGAGACACGGCCCAGACUCCUACGGGAGGCAGCAGUGGGGAAUAUUGCACAAUGGGCGCAAGCCUGAUGCAGCGACGCCGCGUGAGGGAUGACGGCCUUCGGGUUGUAAACCUCUUUCAGCAGGGAAGAAGCGCAAGUGACGGUACCUGCAGAAGAAGCGCCGGCUAACUACGUGCCAGCAGCCGCGGUAAUACGUAGGGCGCGAGCGUUGUCCGGAAUUAUUGGGCGUAAAGAGCUCGUAGGCGGCUUGUCGCGUCGGUUGUGAAAGCCCGGGGCUUAACCCCGGGUCUGCAGUCGAUACGGGCAGGCUAGAGUUCGGUAGGGGAGAUCGGAAUUCCUGGUGUAGCGGUGAAAUGCGCAGAUAUCAGGAGGAACACCGGUGGCGAAGGCGGAUCUCUGGGCCGAUACUGACGCUGAGGAGCGAAAGCGUGGGGAGCGAACAGGAUUAGAUACCCUGGUAGUCCACGCCGUAAAC